RNAcentral lists this ribosomal RNA (496 nucleotides) under uncultured bacterium. RNAcentral describes it as "partial 16S ribosomal RNA". It matches the Rfam family "Bacterial small subunit ribosomal RNA", at positions 28 to 506 of the family's 1533-position model. The record is from RNAcentral.
GAUGAACGCUGGCGGCGUGCCUAAUACAUGCAAGUCGAGCGAACGGACGAGAAGCUUGCUUUUCUGAUGUUAGCGGCGGACGGGUGAGUAACACGUGGAUAACCUACCUAUAAGACUGGGAUAACUUCGGGAAACCGGAGCUAAUACCGGAUAAUAUUUUGAACCGCAUGGUUCAAAAGUGAAAGACGGUCUUGCUGUCACUUAUAGAUGGAUCCGCGCUGCAUUAGCUAGUUGGUAAGGUAACGGCUUACCAAGGCAACGAUGCAUAGCCGACCUGAGAGGGUGAUCGGCAACACUGGAACUGAGACACGGUCCAGACUCCUACGGGAGGCAGCAGGAGGGAAUCUGCCGCAAUGGGCGAAAGCCUGACGGAGCAACGCCGCGUGAGUGAUGAAGGUCUUCGGAUCGUAAAACUCUGUUAUUAGGGAAGAACAUAUGUGUAAGUAACUGUGCACAUCUGGACGGUACCUAAUCAGAAAGCCACGGCUAACUACGU